This 405-nucleotide ribosomal RNA is filed under the name uncultured bacterium. RNAcentral's name for it is "partial 16S ribosomal RNA". It matches the Rfam family "Bacterial small subunit ribosomal RNA", at positions 29 to 525 of the family's 1533-position model. The record is from RNAcentral.
AUUGAACGCUGGCGGCAGGCCUAACACAUGCAAGUCGAACGAGUGGCGGACGGGUGAGUAAUGUCUGGGAAACUGCCCGAUGGAGGGGGAUAACUACUGGAAAUGGUAGCUAAUACCGCAUACCAUCGGAUGUGCCCAGAUGGGAUUAGCUAGUAGGUGGUGUAACGGCCCACCUAGGCGACGAUCCCUAGCGGGUCUGAGAGGAUGACAAGCCACACUGGAACUGGAAAACGGCCCGAACUCCUAGGGGAGGCAGCGGGGGGAAAUAUUGCACAAUGGGCGCAGGCCUGAGGCAGCCAGGCGGGGUGAAUGAAGAGGGCCUUCGGGUGGUAAGGUACUUUCAGCGGGAAGACGUUACUCGCAGAGGAAGCACCGGCUAACUCCGUGCCAGCGGCCGCGGUAAUC